GAAAGCUAUUUAGGUAGCGCCUCGGACGAACACCAUUGGGGGUAGAGCACUGUUUCGGCUAGGGGGUCAUCCCGACUUACCAAACCGAUGCAAACUCCGAAUACCUACAAGUGCCGAGCAUGGGAGACACACGGCGGGUGCUAACGUCCGUCGUGAAAAGGGAAACAACCCAGACCGUCAGCUAAGGUCCCAAAGUCAUGGUUAAGUGGGAAACGAUGUGGGAAGGCUUAGACAGCUAGG
Molecule: ribosomal RNA, 240 nt
Filed under: Ditylum brightwellii
Lineage: Eukaryota; Bacillariophyta; Thalassiosirophyceae; Lithodesmiales; Lithodesmiaceae
Description: partial Bacterial large subunit ribosomal RNA
Rfam family: Bacterial large subunit ribosomal RNA
Source: RNAcentral